RNAcentral lists this ribosomal RNA (466 nucleotides) under uncultured bacterium. RNAcentral's name for it is "partial 16S ribosomal RNA". It matches the Rfam family "Bacterial small subunit ribosomal RNA", at positions 339 to 795 of the family's 1533-position model. The record is from RNAcentral.
CUACGGGUCGCAGCAGUGAGGAAUUUUGCGCAAUGGGGGAAACCCUGACGCAGCAACGCCGCGUGAGUGAUGAAGGCUUUCGGGUCGUAAAACUCUGUCAAGUGGGAAGAACCUAUCGAGUGCCAAUACCACUCGAUACUGACGGUACCACUGAAGGAAGCACCGGCUAACUCCGUGCCGAGCAGCCGCGGUAAUACAGGGGGUGCAUGCGUUAUUCGGAAUCAUUGGGCGUAAAGGGCGCGUAGGCGGCCUUGUAAGUCAGAUGUGAAAGCCCGGGGCUUAACCCCGGAAGUGCAUUUGAAACUACAAGACUUGAGUAUGGGAGAGGGAAGUGGAAUUCCUGGUGUAGAGGUGAAAUUCGUAGAUAUCAGGAGGAACAUCUGUGGCGAAGGCGACUUCCUGGACCAAUACUGACGCUGAGGCGCGAAGGCGUGGGGAGCAAACAGGAUUAGAUACCCUUGUAGUC